UAUGCUAGGUUAAAAUAAAAAACGCGAAGAUUAGAAUCAACCUUUUUUAUCCAUAUUGAAUCAAACUAAAUAUUUAUUAACUUCUAUAUAAUAAUAUUUUUGAAUCAACAAAUUCCUUUAUCGAAACAAAUGUUCCAUCUCAAUUUUCAUUUCAACUCAUAAUGAAUAUCGCUUCUACAAUAUAAUAUUGUAGAUUCUACAAAUUCCUUUUUUGUUCCAAAAAUGUUGAUGCAUUGAAUCUAAAAUUUUGUUUCGGUGUGUCUGACUAACUCACGAGAGCAGCCAUUUUGUGUUUGCGAAAUAAAUGAGAAAUGUCGAACGCGGAAGAAAAAAUUGAAGAGCUGGAGGUUGAAAGCCUCGACGAGGAAACAGCCGAGUUUUUGCGAAUUCUUGAGAGUUUUGGAUUAUCGGAUGCAGUUAUUAACGCGUUUUUAGGUAAGCUUAGAGUAUUUAAUUUAGGUUUUACCUCACAUUUAAGUGUUUUUCAGCUAAUCAGUAUACGAUAGAAACGCUACAAAUUAUUGAGCGGAAGGAGGUGGAAGAGCUGAUUCCCCAGCCAUUCCUAGCAGAAAGGACGAAAUUCAUCCACGGUUUGAACAUUUGGCGAAAACAGCAGGUAAUUUCCUCGGUGCUUUGUAAAUUUUUAAUAAUACUAAGUUUUUCCUUCACAGAAUCUCCCACUCUUGUCGACAACUGAAAGUUCCCCAGCGCCAGCUCAACCAGCCAGUUUCGUCGAAAUAUCUAGAGACAAGUGUACAGCUACGUACUUGCUUCAGGGGUCAGCCAAAGGCCAAGCGAUAUUGAAUAAAUACGAUAAAACGCCGUUUCUGACCAGAACUGACAAAAAAACUAUCACGCAGAUAGUAGUCGACGAGUUUAAAGACCGAUUUUCGAAACUAACCUCAUCGGAAUUGGAACAACGAUCGAUCGAGUUGUCCAAGUUAUUUCCAAGUGAGCCGAAGGUAGGUAUUUUCAAUACAGCGCGGAAUAUACGAUAGAUACGAUUUCAUUUUUCAACAGGAAGUAUGGUAUCAAUCACCGUGGAGUACUAAUAGCGUUGGACAAAAGAUCAAGCUCAGGAAGCAGGCUAGAGGAAAAUUGUACGAUCGUAACAUCAAUUACAAACCGGCGGUUGUAUAUGAUCUUCAACCAACAGCAUCCGGAAGCGUAGCGACUCAAUCUGCAGCAGAUAUAUCUGACGAACAUAUUGCAGAUUAUCAGCAGAUCAAAAAGUGGAUCGUUCAUAAUCAGGAUGAAUGGGAGGAGCUGAAAAAUAAGUGGAAGCAAACAUCCAGAUUGAGAGCAUUUGAACUAUCAAAGAACAACAGUAAGACUACAGCAUCUAUUCUUUCGGAUUAUUCUGUAUUCCGUAAUCACCAAGCUUAUCAGCUGGUACAGAUAGACUUCCAGCAACGAUAUCCAGACAAGGAAAAAUUACUCUUUGAUCGUUGGGAGCAGUUCGUUUCGGGUCUUCUUCCAAUACUGGAGAUUGAAGUCAACGAUUCAGAGGGGAAGGCGCUCAUCAAUCAGCUGAAAACUCCGGAAACGACUUGUGGUAUAUUUUAUGAACAUUCGACUAACAACAAAUGCUAAUAACAUAUUUUUCUAGAUGGUCAAGGCUUCCUAACAGUAUUACUGUUGGCCCACAUACUCCCAAGUCCUGUGUUGACGUUGUCACAAAAGCGACGUUGGAAGCCGUCAAUCGUAGAGUCUCGUGAUAGCGUGAUAAUCCAGAUUGAUAGUUUGACGGAACUACGGACAAUAUUGGCCAAAUGCUUCAAUUCCUGUCGUGAGAAAGGCAUUGAACCGACGCCUUUUGUCGUGAUUCAUGGAAGUAACCUGAAUCGCCCCGAAGGGUUUUCGGUGUGGAACAACGUAGUUUCAUACAAGCUGCCAAAUCUACAAAAAGCACUUGAUGUUUGUUUGAAGCUGUAUAAAACCUACGACAUCGAGUUUCCCCGACAUUCAUCUUCGAUCUGGAAUCUGCUAGCUGCGUUUCUCUACGAUUUUGAUGUUCCAUCGGAUCAAAUCCAUAUCGCUGCCCUUUGCUCUACAAUUCGGAAUAAUUGUUCAGCAAAAUGAUUCACUGCAUGGCACCACGGUGUACUUGGAAGAAUGUUUCGCUUCAAAGGCUACAUGAUCACUUGAGCAAAUACCAUGGAAAUCUAAAAGUAUAUGAAUGCAACGUAGGAGAAUGUACCAGAAAGUUCAACGUUAAAUGUUCAUUCUAUCGUCAUCUAAAAACACAUUUCAGCGAAGCAUCAAAUAUUAAAGCAAACAAUCCUGAAGAUAUACCCUUUUCCAUGUUGAACGAUUCCACUACAGCGUAUGCCGAAAAUUAUCAUCUAGCCACCGACCAAGAACAAAUUUCCCAUACACUAGGUACACCAGAACCCAUGUCAGUGAAUGACCCAACUCAACGACUUGAAGAUCUGCUGUGUACGACCGAGUUGGAUGCUCUUAUUCAGCAAAUGCAACAUGCAUCUAUAGACUUCAACCUCAAAUAUUUAAAUGCAAACACAGUUC
This is a long non-coding RNA of Aedes aegypti (yellow fever mosquito), 2526 nucleotides long. RefSeq lists it as uncharacterized. The transcript is spliced from 2 exons. Lineage: Eukaryota; Metazoa; Arthropoda; Insecta; Diptera; Culicidae. The record is from RefSeq and is a predicted model, not a curated record.